GAUGAAGAACGUAGCGAAAUGCGAUAAGUAAUGCGAAUUGCAGAAUUUCCGUGAGUCAUCGAGUCUUUGAACGCACAUUGCGCCCCCUGGUAUUCCGGGGGGCAUGCCUGUCCGAGCGUCAUUGCUGCCCUCAAGCACGGCUUGUGUGUUGGGCCCCGUCCUCCGAUCCCGGGGGACGGGCCCGAAAGGCAGCGGCGGCACCGCGUCCGGUCCUCGAGCGUAUGGGGCUUUGUCACCCGCUCUGUAGGCCCGGCCGGCGCUUGCCGAUCAACCCAAAUUUUUUAUCCAGGUUGACCUCGGAUCAGGUAGGGAUACCCGCUGAACUUAAGCAUAUCAAUAAGCGGAGGA
RNAcentral lists this unclassified non-coding RNA (348 nucleotides) under soil metagenome. RNAcentral's name for it is "partial contains 5.8S ribosomal RNA, internal transcribed spacer 2, and large subunit ribosomal RNA". The stretch from base 1 to 121 matches the Rfam family "5.8S ribosomal RNA", at positions 35 to 154 of the family's 154-position model. The record is from RNAcentral.